CAAUAGCGUAUAUUAAAGUUGUUGCAGUUAAAAAGCUCGUAGUUGGAUUUAAGUUUGGUUCAAGAUCACAGUCGUGAGAUUGCGGUGCAUGAAACGGACAUUAUUUGGGAUUGGGGGUUUCUUGGCAUUCAGUUGUUGAGAUUCAACUGCCCAUCGUUUACUGUGAAAAAAUUAGAGUGUUUAAAGCAGGGGUUUUUCCUUUGGAUAUAUUAGCAUGGAAUAAUAAUAUAUGACUCGUAUGGUCUAUUUUGUUGGUUUGCACAUAUGAGUAAUGAUUAAUAGGGACAGUUGGGGGUAUUCAUAUUUGAGCGUCAGAGGUGAAAUUCUUGGAUCGCUGAAAGAUGAGCUAAGGCGAAAGCAUUUACCAAGGAUGUUUUCAUUAA
Molecule: ribosomal RNA, 383 nt
Filed under: uncultured eukaryote
Lineage: Eukaryota
Description: partial 18S ribosomal RNA
Rfam family: Eukaryotic small subunit ribosomal RNA
Source: RNAcentral